Lolium perenne is the source of this 235-nucleotide long non-coding RNA. RefSeq lists it as uncharacterized. The record is from RefSeq and is a predicted model, not a curated record. Lineage: Eukaryota; Viridiplantae; Streptophyta; Magnoliopsida; Poales; Poaceae.
CGUAAGACGGUAGAAAGCGCUCUGGCUUUGACGAUGCCUGAUGAAGCGAUGAUUGUUGGGUGUCAGGUAGCAGCACAACUUCGUUCAUUGAAGAUGAUGCUACAUUUUCUAUAUUGGUGCCUAACAUCGUCCACGUCCUUAGAAAUCUGAUGGAAGCAGCCUACAGACACACGAGCCCAGCCCCAAACUACUAUACAACACUCCAAGAAAUCAUACCCACAAUGGAGCAGGUGAA